UACGUAGGGAGCAAGCGUUGUCCGGAAUCAUUGGGCGUAAAGCGCGCGUAGGCGGCUCGAUCAGUCUGUUGUGAAAGUCAAAGGCUCAACCUUUGAAUGCCGAUGGAUACUGUCGAGCUAGAGUCCGGAAGAGGCGGGUGGAAUUCCUGGUGUAGCGGUGGAAUGCGCAGAUAUCGGGAGGAACACCAACGGCGAAGGCAGCCCGCUGGGACGGUACUGACGCUAAGGCGCGAAAGCGUGGGGAGCGAACAGG
This 253-nucleotide ribosomal RNA is filed under the name uncultured bacterium. Its description in RNAcentral is "partial 16S ribosomal RNA". It matches the Rfam family "Bacterial small subunit ribosomal RNA", at positions 524 to 776 of the family's 1533-position model. The record is from RNAcentral.